GAUGAACGCUGGCGGCGUGCUUAACACAUGCAAGUCGAACGGUGAAGGCGGAGCUUGCUCUGCUGGAUCAGUGGCGAACGGGUGAGUAACACGUGAGCAAUCUGCCCCUGACUCUGGGAUAAGCGCUGGAAACGGCGUCUAAUACUGGGUACGAGCUGCGAAGGCAUCUUCAGCAGCUGGAAAGAAUUUCGGUCAGGGAUGAGCUCGCGGCCUAUCAGCUUGUUGGUGAGGUAAUGGCUCACCAAGGCGUCGACGGGUAGCCGGCCUGAGAGGGUGACCGGCCACACUGGGACUGAGACACGGCCCAGACUCCUACGGGAGGCAGCAGUGGGGAAUCUUGCGCAAUGGGCGAAAGCCUGACGCAGCCAUGCCGCGUGAAUGAUGAAGGUCUUAGGAUUGUAAAAUUCUUUCACCGGGGACGAUAAUGACGGUACCCGGAGAAGAAGCCCCGGCUAACUUCGUG
RNAcentral lists this ribosomal RNA (463 nucleotides) under uncultured bacterium. RNAcentral's name for it is "partial 16S ribosomal RNA". It matches the Rfam family "Bacterial small subunit ribosomal RNA", at positions 28 to 507 of the family's 1533-position model. The record is from RNAcentral.